AAACUACUCCCUCUGUCCGGAAAAGCUUGUCCCUCUAGUAAAUGUAUCUAGCACCAAGUUAGUGCUAGAUACAUCCAUUUGAGGGACAAUGGGACAAGCUUUUCUGGACAGAGGGAGUAUAUU
This is a non-coding RNA of Triticum aestivum (bread wheat), 123 nucleotides long. The record is from Rfam. Lineage: Eukaryota; Viridiplantae; Streptophyta; Magnoliopsida; Poales; Poaceae.